GACGAACGCUGGCGGCGUGCUUAACACAUGCAAGUCGAACGGUAAAGCCUGGUGCUUGCGGUGGGCGGGUGAGUGGAGCACGGGUGAGUAAUACGUGUGUCAUGUGCUCUUGACUCUGGGAAAUGCAUGGGACAGUGGGUCUAACACGGGAGAUGACACUCCAGCACAUGGUGGUGUGUGAAGAGGGGUUUACUGGUUUGGGAUGGACGCACGGCCUAUCAGCUUGUUGGUGGGGUAGUGGCCUACCAAGGCGAGGACGGGUAGCCGGCCUGAGAGGGUGACCGGCCACACUGGGACUGAGAUACGGCCCAGACUCCUACGGGAGGCAGCAGUGGGGAAUAUUGCACAAUGGGCGGAAGCCUGAUGCAGCGACGCCGCGUGCGGGAUGACGGCCUUCGGGUUGUAAACCGCUUUCGCCUCGGACGAAGCGUGAGUGACGGUACGUGCUGAAGAAGCGCCGGCUAACUACGUG
This 472-nucleotide ribosomal RNA is filed under the name uncultured bacterium. Its description in RNAcentral is "partial 16S ribosomal RNA". It matches the Rfam family "Bacterial small subunit ribosomal RNA", at positions 28 to 507 of the family's 1533-position model. The record is from RNAcentral.